This 254-nucleotide ribosomal RNA is filed under the name uncultured bacterium. RNAcentral's name for it is "partial 16S ribosomal RNA". It matches the Rfam family "Bacterial small subunit ribosomal RNA", at positions 524 to 776 of the family's 1533-position model. The record is from RNAcentral.
UACGUAGGGCGCAAGCGUUUAUCCGGAAUUAUUGGGCGUAAAGAGCUCGUAGGCGGUUUGUCGCGUCUGCCGUGAAAGUCCGGGGCUCAACUCCGGAUCUGCGGUGGGUACGGGCAGACUAGAGUGAUGUAGGGGAGACUGGAAUUCCUGGUGUAGCGGUGAAAUGCGCAGAUAUCAGGAGGAACACCGGUGGCGAAGGCGGAUCUCUGGGCCUGUUCUGACGCUGAGGCGCGAAAGCUAGGGGAGCGAACAGG